This is a small nuclear RNA of Trichomycterus rosablanca, 130 nucleotides long. RefSeq annotates it as U4atac minor spliceosomal RNA. The record is from RefSeq and is a predicted model, not a curated record. NCBI's taxonomy places the organism in Eukaryota, Metazoa, Chordata, Actinopteri, Siluriformes, Trichomycteridae. The transcript has a single exon.
UCCUUCCUUGUCUGGGGGUGGAUUGGGAUGAUCAAUGAGCGUUUAGCGAGAUCAUCCCUGCUGACACCUGACCAACACAAUCCGCAUCACCUGAGCAGUUCUGCUCAGACUCGGUGCAAUUUUUGGAACC